Molecule: transfer RNA, 67 nt
Filed under: Nassarius glans
Lineage: Eukaryota; Metazoa; Mollusca; Gastropoda; Neogastropoda; Nassariidae
Description: tRNA-Glu
Source: RNAcentral
GUUUCUAUGGUGUAAAAUGCACAUUAGAUUUUCAUUCUAAAGGGAUAAAAUUAUUUUAUUAGGAAUA